AACAGACACCGGCGAGUCAUCGAGCUCUUGCAAACCACCGUCCUGCUUCUGGAU
Molecule: small RNA, 54 nt
Filed under: Arabidopsis thaliana (thale cress)
Lineage: Eukaryota; Viridiplantae; Streptophyta; Magnoliopsida; Brassicales; Brassicaceae
Description: ATSL241940
Source: RNAcentral